UCCCAAGUGCUGGGACUAAAGGCGUGCACCACCACACCCGGCUGAUUUUUAUAUCAUUGUUGAACCAAGGCUGGCUUUGAACCCAUGAUUUUUCUGGGCUCCAUCUUGUUUAUUUUUGAAUCAGGGUCUUAUAUAUUCAGGAUUUUCCUUCCACCACUUACUACAUAGAUAAUUACAGGUAUAUGUAAUAGUGCCCAGCUAGUGUAGUGGGUUAGACUAGCUGCUCUGCUCUCCAGAGUUUCUCAUUAUAGAGCACUUUUUUGGGCUAAGAAUACAAAUAAUGUAGGGAAUACAAGCUGGGCAUGGUGAUUCAUGUCUGAAAUCCUACAGUAUAAAUUCCAGGUCAGCUUGAGUUAGAGAGUAAGGUUGUCCGUUAAACUCAACAAACAAGUAUGUAUGUAUAUAGGUGAGUAAACGGCUCUCAGGAUAUAGCUCAGGAUAGUAGUGACCGCCGCUAUUCAGUCUCCAGCACCACAUGAACCAGAUGUGGUGUCACGGGUUUCUAAUCCUAGUAAUGGCAGCAAGAGACAGGAAAACCAGACAUUUAAGGUCCUUUUCAGCUUCUCAGCUACAUAACAAGUUUGAGGCCAGCCCGGAGAACAUGAGGUCUUAUUACAGUAAAGUAUAAAGGUAUUCCAGACUAGCAUAAGACAUAGUAGCAUACACACAUAAUCCCAGCACUUGGCAGGCAGAGUAAACCCUGCCUCGGGGAAAGAAAGAAUAUUGGUGUAGUGAUCCAGACCUGUAGUUAGAGCAACUUAGAAACUUGGAGCAGAGAGAUCACAAGUUAAAAUGAGCUUGACAACUUGGAGAAAUCUCUCAGCCUUAGUGCGCACGCGUGCGCGCGCGCGCACACACACACACACACACACACACACACACACACACACACACUCACACACAGAGGACUGGUUAUGUACCUGAACACCCUUGGGCUGGGGACAUUGGAAACCUGCAUAUUCUUUGAAGGUGACCUACCUUUGCAGUGUCUUGCCACUUCAGUCUCAGUAUUUGCAUAGAUGCUUAGAUCCAAGUGUUUCUGUGGACCUGAUGGGGACUGGUUUUUACGGAUGUCACAUAUAAAACCAUAGGUGGAAGUUUGCUGAGGUCUUUUUGACCUUUGACUGUUGCCAUGAUAGCCUUCUUGAUUGAGAUUUGCAUAUCUAUAACUAUAAUUUCCUAAGUUUGGGAGUCAGCAGUAUUUCCUCUUUGACAUAUUUUCUGAGCCUGGAUAUCUUGGAUAAACCAGGAUCUUGUCUAUAGGAAAUUUAUUGAUGAAACUGAGAAUGUAGCUUAGUUGGUAGAGUUUUUGCCAGAGCCUGCAUGAGGCCCUAUAUUCUCUUCUAGAAUUUCAUAAAAACUAGACACGGGAAGCACAUACCUACAGAGUUGCCAUUAGCUACUCCUGAAUUUGGGGACAACCUAAUUUUCCUGCAACCAUGUCU
Molecule: long non-coding RNA, 1445 nt
Filed under: Mus musculus (house mouse)
Lineage: Eukaryota; Metazoa; Chordata; Mammalia; Rodentia; Muridae
Description: long non-coding RNA chr9:108328054-108329499
Source: RNAcentral